GCAUAUCAAUAAGCGGAGGAAAAGAAAAUAACAAUGAUUCCCCUAGUAACUGCGAGUGAAGAGGGACAAGCUCAAAUUUUAAAUCUGUUAGGUUUUUACCUGACCGAGUUGUAAUUUGAAGAGGUGUUUUCCGCGUUUUUUGGUCAGUCCAAGUCCUUUGGAAUGAGGCAUCAUGGAGGGUGAGAAUCCCGUUCGGCUGAUCAGAUUCGUUUUACGAUACACCUUCAAAGAGUCAAGUUGUUUGGGAUUGCAGCUUAAAAUGGGAGGUAAAUUUCUCCUAAGGCUAAAUAUUGGCGAGAGACCGAUAGCGAACAAGUACCGUGAGGGAAAGAUGAAAAGUACUUUGAAAAGAGAGUUAAAUAGCACGUGAAAUUGUUGAAAGGGAAACGAUUGAAGUCAGUCAUACUGACGGGUAAUCAACCUUUCGGGCGCGAUUAUGUGGCGCGUGAUGGAGCCUAACCGGUCCUCAUGUUUGCAUAUUUGUUCCCCUUGGGUGUACUUGCCCGCGUGGUAGGUUAACAUCAAUUUCGGACGUCAUAAAAUGACGGGAGGAAUGUAGCUUUGGUCUCGUACUGAAGUGUUAUAGACUCUGGUAGAUGUGACGUUCGGGAUUGAGGAUUGCAACGAAUACCCUUCGGGGCUACCCGCCUGGCCUCUGAUGGUCGCCGUGGUGCCGAAAGCUUGCUUACGGUUAUCAAGGUUGGUCGUCAAAANGUUAGAACGGGUUAAAUUCGUUAAGGAUGUUGACGUA
This 751-nucleotide ribosomal RNA is filed under the name uncultured Glomerales. RNAcentral describes it as "LSU rRNA". It matches the Rfam family "Eukaryotic large subunit ribosomal RNA", at positions 38 to 633 of the family's 3401-position model. Lineage: Eukaryota; Fungi; Glomeromycota; Glomeromycetes; Glomerales; Glomeraceae. The record is from RNAcentral.